Molecule: ribosomal RNA, 965 nt
Filed under: Escherichia coli
Lineage: Bacteria; Pseudomonadati; Pseudomonadota; Gammaproteobacteria; Enterobacterales; Enterobacteriaceae
Description: partial 23S ribosomal RNA
Rfam family: Bacterial large subunit ribosomal RNA
Source: RNAcentral
UGUAUAAUGGGUCAGCGACUUAUAUUCUGUAGCAAGGUUAACCGAAUAGGGGAGCCGAAGGGAAACCGAGUCUUAACUGGGCGUUAAGUUGCAGGGUAUAGACCCGAAACCCGGUGAUCUAGCCAUGGGCAGGUUGAAGGUUGGGUAACACUAACUGGAGGACCGAACCGACUAAUGUUGAAAAAUUAGCGGAUGACUUGUGGCUGGGGGUGAAAGGCCAAUCAAACCGGGAGAUAGCUGGUUCUCCCCGAAAGCUAUUUAGGUAGCGCCUCGUGAAUUCAUCUCCGGGGGUAGAGCACUGUUUCGGCAAGGGGGUCAUCCCGACUUACCAACCCGAUGCAAACUGCGAAUACCGGAGAAUGUUAUCACGGGAGACACACGGCGGGUGCUAACGUCCGUCGUGAAGAGGGAAACAACCCAGACCGCCAGCUAAGGUCCCAAAGUCAUGGUUAAGUGGGAAACGAUGUGGGAAGGCCCAGACAGCCAGGAUGUUGGCUUAGAAGCAGCCAUCAUUUAAAGAAAGCGUAAUAGCUCACUGGUCGAGUCGGCCUGCGCGGAAGAUGUAACGGGGCUAAACCAUGCACCGAAGCUGCGGCAGCGACACUAUGUGUUGUUGGGUAGGGGAGCGUUCUGUAAGCCUGUGAAGGUGUACUGUGAGGUAUGCUGGAGGUAUCAGAAGUGCGAAUGCUGACAUAAGUAACGAUAAAGCGGGUGAAAAGCCCGCUCGCCGGAAGACCAAGGGUUCCUGUCCAACGUUAAUCGGGGCAGGGUGAGUCGACCCCUAAGGCGAGGCCGAAAGGCGUAGUCGAUGGGAAACAGGUUAAUAUUCCUGUACUUGGUGUUACUGCGAAGGGGGGACGGAGAAGGCUAUGUUGGCCGGGCGACGGUUGUCCCGGUUUAAGCGUGUAGGCUGAUUUUCCAGGUAAAUCCGGAAAAUCAAGGCUGAGGCGUGAUGACGAGGCACU